UUUUCUGAAACAAGCACUUGAGACUUGGAUUUACCUUUUUAGCAUUUUUCUAUGAUUUGUUAUGAUUUAAAUAGAUUAAACAAGGAUUAAAUCAUAUAACAUUAAUCCUAGCAGAGACAUGUGCCAAAAGUAUUUUUAUUAGAAACUACACCUUAUACUGAGUCUAGCAAAAUUGGUUUGACAUUUUUCUGAAUUUUCUAUGAGUUUUGGUGAAUUUCCAAAAUUAAACACAUUUUUUGCCAAUUUAAAACAAAAAUCGAGGUAAAUUUGCGAUCUAGCCCUCGCGUCUAUACUUUAUUUGCAUAGGGGUCCCUAGUUUUUGCACUAAAGCCCCUGAUUCGAUUCUCUCGAUCGCAAUCGGGUCCCCGGGCGGUGCACGGCGGUGGGCGGGCAAAAUCCCGAUGAAGCGCCGGUGGGAUUUGGGCGGAAAGAGGUCGGGGAGGAGCGGUGGCUCACCUGCGACCGAUUUGAGGUGGUUGCGGCUGUCUAGGAGGUCCAGCGGGAAAGGAACGCGAUGGCGGACGGCGUGCAGUGGCGGUAUCUACGGGCGGCGGUGUUCCGGCGGUGGCGGCACUCUUCGCGGGCAACA
Molecule: long non-coding RNA, 589 nt
Filed under: Setaria viridis
Lineage: Eukaryota; Viridiplantae; Streptophyta; Magnoliopsida; Poales; Poaceae
Description: long non-coding RNA (SVIR_LNC003585)
Source: RNAcentral